Long non-coding RNA from Lolium rigidum, 805 nucleotides. RefSeq lists it as uncharacterized. The transcript has 3 exons. The record is from RefSeq and is a predicted model, not a curated record. NCBI's taxonomy places the organism in Eukaryota, Viridiplantae, Streptophyta, Magnoliopsida, Poales, Poaceae.
ACGCACCUCCUCCCCGGAUUCUUAGGAAUUCCAGCCCCGACACCGACAUCUGCCAUCGAGCUCCUUCUGCAGCGCGCCCAACUGCUGUCGUUGUUCCAUACCGGAACAAAAGCAGAGCCCUUUGUGCAGCUCCUCUGCUCCCUUGCCGACCAGCUACCCCGCGCAGCUAGCUUGUGUCUACUUUGGUCCGACGGCCUGGCUGUAGCCUCCUGCAUGCGCCUUGCUGCUGUUCCACCGAAGGCGAGUUUACCCGAAUGGCCUCGUUCCUCUACUUUGCCUUCCUGGUUUACCAAGCAUUGAAGACCAAAGGACUUAACCACAAGGCUGCCACUAGCGUGGCAAGCUUAGCGAGGCCUGAGGAGAUCGGUGAACACAAAGAUGAAGCGGUUGUUGUCACAAAAUUGGCGAAAGCAUCUCAUCACCUGCAAAACAGCAGCACUGUUCUUUUCUCUCUCUUUGCCUAUCUUCGUGCCUGCCUUCCUAUAUUCUGGUUUAAGAAGUAUCAUCUGCUGCUGCUGCAGACUCUGGUGUUGAGGCGGCGGGGACAAGCAACCUGGAGGAGAAGCAGCUAGAUAGACGAUCUCGGCAGGUGAGAAGCUGAUGGUGGAGUUAAGCUGCUGCAAUGUGUGAGCAGCCAAAGUGUGAGAUUCAUGUGUAGCGCAGCAUGCUUGUGACGUAUGUAACGUAACGGUCCUAGGAUCGAUUGUGUAAACUUUUGAGCUGCGCAUCAGCUUUUCAUUGACGUUCAUUGUGGUGUGCUGUCUGCACUUUGCUUGUUUGUGAAGUAUAUACAUAUUAUUCUCUG